This 402-nucleotide ribosomal RNA is filed under the name uncultured bacterium. RNAcentral describes it as "bacterial SSU rRNA". It matches the Rfam family "Bacterial small subunit ribosomal RNA", at positions 355 to 774 of the family's 1533-position model. The record is from RNAcentral.
UGGGGAAUCUUGGACAAUGGGCGCAAGCCUGAUCCAGCCAUGCCGCGUGAGUGAAGAAGGCCUUAGGGUUGUAAAGCUCUUUUGCCAGGGACGAUAAUGACGGUACCUGGAGAAUAAGCCCCGGCAAACUUCGUGCCAGCAGCCGCGGUAAUACGAAGGGGGCUAGCGUUGUUCGGAUUUACUGGGCGUAAAGCGCACGUAGGCGGGUCGUUAAGUCAGGGGUGAAAUCCCGGAGCUCAACUCCGGAACUGCCUUUGAUACUGGCGACCUUGAGGCUGGAAGAGGUUAGUGGAAUUCCCAGUGUAGAGGUGAAAUUCGUAGAUAUUGGGAAGAACACCAGUGGCGAAGGCGGCUAAUUGGUCCAGAUCUGACGCUGAGGUGCGAAAGCGUGGGGAGCAAACA